Molecule: ribosomal RNA, 253 nt
Filed under: uncultured bacterium
Lineage: Bacteria
Description: partial 16S ribosomal RNA
Rfam family: Bacterial small subunit ribosomal RNA
Source: RNAcentral
GACAGAGGGUGCAAACGUUGUUCGGAUUUACUGGGCGUAAAGCGCGUGUAGGCGGCCUUGCAAGUUAGAUGUGAAAGCCCACGGCUCAACCGUGGAAGCGCAUCCAAAACUGCAUCGCUCGAGUCUCGGAGAGGAAGGUGGAAUGCUUGGUGUAGAGGUGAAAUUCGUAGAUAUCAAGCAGAACACCUGCGGCGAAGGCGGCCUUCUGGACGAUGACUGACGCUGAGACGCGAAAGCGUGGGGAGCAAACAGG